CCUACGGGAGGCAGCAGUGGGGAAUAUUGGGCAAUGGGCGCAAGCCUGACCCAGCAAUGCCGCGUGAAGGAAGAAGGCUUUCGGGUUGUAAACUUCUUUGACAGGGGAAGAGCAGAAGACGGUACCCUGAAAACAAGCCACGGCUAACUACGUGCCAGCAGCCGCGGUAAUACGUAGGUGGCACGCGUUGUCCGGAUUUACUGGGUGUAAAGGGCGUGUAGCCGGGAAGGCAAGUCAGAUGUGAAAUCUGGAGGCUCAACCUCCAAAUUGCAUAUGAAACUGUUUUUCUUGAGUACUGGAGGGGCAGACGGAAUUCCUUGUGUAGCGGUGAAAUGCGUAGAUAUAAGGAGGAACACCAGUGGCGAAGGCGGUCUGCUGGACAGCAACUGACGGUGAGGCGCGAAAGCGUGGGGAGCAAACAGGAUUAGAUACCCCUGUAGUC
RNAcentral lists this ribosomal RNA (442 nucleotides) under uncultured bacterium. Its description in RNAcentral is "partial 16S ribosomal RNA". It matches the Rfam family "Bacterial small subunit ribosomal RNA", at positions 338 to 795 of the family's 1533-position model. The record is from RNAcentral.